This 468-nucleotide ribosomal RNA is filed under the name uncultured bacterium. Its description in RNAcentral is "partial 16S ribosomal RNA". It matches the Rfam family "Bacterial small subunit ribosomal RNA", at positions 28 to 507 of the family's 1533-position model. The record is from RNAcentral.
GACGAACGCUGGCGGCGUGCUUAACACAUGCAAGUCGAACGGACAGGCCCUGCUUUUGUGGGGUUCUCGAGUGGCGAACGGGGGAGUAACACGUGAGUAACCUGCCCUUGACUUUGGGAUAACUUCAGGAAACAGGGGCUAAUACAGCAUAGGAGCUCCUGCUGCGUGGGGGGGGUUGGAAAGUUUCGGCGGUUGUGGAUGGACUCGCGGCUUAUCAGCUGGAUGGUCGGGUAGUGGCUUACCAGGGCUUUGACGGGUAGCCGGCCUGAGAGGGUGACCGGGCACCAUGCGCCUGCGAGACGGCCCAGACUGCUACCGGAGGCAGUAGGCGGGAACAUGGCAGAGUGGGCGGAAGCCUGAUGCAGAAACGCUGCGAGCGGGAUGCCGGGCUACGGGGUGUAAACCGCUUUCGCCGGUGACGUAGCGUGAGUGACGGUAACGGGUCAAGAAGCACCGGCUAACUACGUG